Molecule: non-coding RNA, 999 nt
Organism: Vicugna pacos (alpaca)
Lineage: Eukaryota; Metazoa; Chordata; Mammalia; Artiodactyla; Camelidae
Source: RefSeq, a predicted model, not a curated record
UCAGGCUGUGUUUCAUCAAAGCUGCUUAAAACAUGUCCCUGCCCAGCCUUCCUCCCUUAAUCUUAAAAUUUCUCACUUCUUUUUCUCUACUUCCCUGAAGAUAACACUAUCUAAACUGCUUCUUUGGAGGAUGUAAGAGGGAUCUACUUACCAACUGAUGAAGAACUAUGGCAGGAAACUGGAUGAACCUCCUUAGAGAGAAACUUCUCAUUAAACUGAAAUUUGCCAAGCACUGGAAUAGGGGGAAGGAAUCCCUUAGGCUGGAGGAUGGAGAGGGCGAUCUAUAGAGGUUCCUUUCCAAACUUUACAUUUUUCAUCCUAUCUAAGUCAUCAGACCCUCGUACUGAAGAUGGUAUAUGGAGGACAAAAACUCAUCCCCAGGAAGGUCUCUUCCCAUCUGGGACCCAGGAGCCACAGAAUCAGCAGCUGCAUUGCAGGCACCAGAACAAGUAAACAGGUGACUUAGCAGGUGAGAAAGUGGAAAGAAGCUCUGACAUCUGGGAACUGGCCUGAUACAGCUAGGUUUGGAACUGUUAGGGGCUAACCUGGGCUCACAGGUAGGAAAUGGUGCUCUCCUGUUGGACAGAAAGCCUCACAAAACACCAACAUUAGCCAAGGACACUCAGUAACUGUGAUGAAGUGAGGCAAAAAACAAGACCACUUUGAAAUUGUGCUUAAGCACUAAACAAGCCAGUGCUGGAACCUGUGCUGUGCAGAAGAGAGGACAAGACCAGGGAUGUCCCCAGCUUCCCAUCAGAGGACACACAAGCCCUCAAUCAGUCCUUCCUCUGCUGGCUUCAGUCUGCGCUCCUAUGCAAGCCCCCUCUGUGAGGCUUGAAGGAAGAUGGACAAGAGAACCCUCAUAAAAGGGAGGUGCCGGAACUUGCACUUGGCUCCUCUCUGGCAAUCACCCUUGAGAAAGUCACGGCAGAUAGGGACCUCCUCCUUGCCAUUUGGUAGGUCAGCUGGUGAAAGGCCCAGGCCGGCUGCCACUUUCUG